UACGGGGGGGGCAAGCGUUGUUCGGAAUUACUGGGCGUAAAGGGCUGGUAGGCGGCCAACUAAGUCGGAUGUGAAAUCCCCAGGCUUAACCUGGGAACUGCAUCCGAUACUGGUCGGCUUGAAUCCGGGAGAGGGAUGCAGAAUUCCAGGUGUAGCGGUGAAAUGCGUAGAUAUCAGGAGGAACACCUGCGGUGUAGACGGCUUACUGGACCAUCACUGACGCUGAGGCACGAAAGCGUGGGUAGCAAACAGG
RNAcentral lists this ribosomal RNA (253 nucleotides) under uncultured bacterium. RNAcentral describes it as "partial 16S ribosomal RNA". It matches the Rfam family "Bacterial small subunit ribosomal RNA", at positions 524 to 776 of the family's 1533-position model. The record is from RNAcentral.